UUUACUUAUGUUGUUCGUGAUAUCUCAGCAAAUGAACAAAAUCUGGUGAUCUAUCAGUAGUAGGCGGUUGGAAUAAGAACAGUUGUCGAAGUACGUGUGCCCCUUGAUGUGACCGUUUCUAUAUCACCUGUGACGAAAUCACACUACGUUAGGACCUGACUUGGGAUGAUGGAUAGGCACUAAAAUAGUGAAAUCCCAUUUCUCUAACUGUACUCAUGGCCUUCUGCUGUGUGCCACUUUGUUGUUCGGACGGGAAAAGGCGUGUGCUGGGCGAGAAGGUGACAUUCCACGAAAUACCUUCACGACUGGACAUACGAGAAAAGUGGUUCGUAGCGAUCAAGAGGGAUGAGUGGUCACCGAACUCCACUUGCAGCUACUCAAGAGUAUGCAGCAGACACUUCCUCGCUUCCGAUUUCAUCGAAGACAAGCGCGUCGACUGAAACGAGACGCCGUGCCGUCUGUCUUCAGCGACUUCCCAUCCCACCUCCCACCAAGAAUCACGAAGAAUAAUUCUGAACAAUCACAUGGAUCUAACAAAUGGAAGCCGCUGAACACAUUGUUGCAUUUUGCUGUGCCUGCGAUCUGUGAAUGCACAUUGCUCCAGUGUCCACAGGCACAAAAUAACACAGGCACGAGCUUGUACAUCUCAUUUGUUCGAAGUUCUUUCGGCCGUUUCUGGUAAAUCUGCUUUUCAUGUAACUGACAGAAAUCACACCUACAAAACUUUCAAAAGGAAGCCCCUCUCCAAAAGGCCGCCAGGGUGGCUCCCCUCUUGCUCCUCCGGUUGAAGCGGCGUUCCAGUUAACUCUGCUUCGAGCUGUACGUGCCGCAGCUGCGUUAGCGCAACAGAACGAACCUCAGGACCAUUGCUUUAGGAAACAAUCCAAGUGUUUGUGUGGCGUCUGUGCUUCCCAGGAACCCGAUGAGUAGCUAUAUGCUGCAGUGCUGGUGAAGUGGCAGAGUUGUGCAAUGACGGCGAAGUACAGUCUACGUCAGGUUCACUGCUUAUUGUGUGUUUACAAGCUGAGUUUGGAGAUUCCUUGGACCGAGAAACAGACGACAGAUACCUGGGUGUGUCGUCCGCGUGAUUCGCCAACGUUUUUCCAUCCCGGUCCUAUCAGGGCUAUCAUCUUUAGUGUGCCUCAUUUCCUUUUCACACCUACACCACAACAGACUUGUGUAGUUUCCAAUUGAGAAGUGAGAAACAGAAUAUGUGUUACCACAGUAAUCCCGAGAAGUGCAAAGAAAUAUGCAGGAGCAAUAAACUACCUGGCCAUAAAUGACAGUUAUAUUUUUAAUGGUAGUGUAAUGCUUCUUAUCGUUGGCAUAGCAGGUGAGGGAUAUAACACGUCAAAUAAUUUCAGGUAAUGUUUCAUAACUCACUAAUGGUACAGUUACACCUCGUUAUCAUAGUAAGUGACACAUCUGUCUGGGAACGUCCACAAUUUGUCAUUCCCACGGAAGAUUGUUGUGCCUUGAUACAGCAAAACAAAUUUUGACACCUGUCAUUGAUCCAAUUUUUUUAGCACCACUGUUUUGAAAACAGCUUUCAAGACUAACUUCAGAGAUCCUUGGCAGAGCAUUACCUCUUGUCUAUGUAUUAUAAUAAUUAUUAUAAUGACAGGCAAUAAGUUACGCAAAUGUGAAUAAAUAUUUGUGUUGACUGA
This is a long non-coding RNA of Ornithodoros turicata, 1667 nucleotides long. RefSeq lists it as uncharacterized. NCBI's taxonomy places the organism in Eukaryota, Metazoa, Arthropoda, Arachnida, Ixodida, Argasidae. The record is from RefSeq and is a predicted model, not a curated record. The transcript has 4 exons.